Vigna unguiculata (cowpea) is the source of this 2446-nucleotide long non-coding RNA. RefSeq lists it as uncharacterized. The record is from RefSeq and is a predicted model, not a curated record. NCBI's taxonomy places the organism in Eukaryota, Viridiplantae, Streptophyta, Magnoliopsida, Fabales, Fabaceae.
UUUACGCUUUAUAGUUUCAUCAAUCUCUCUUCCUUAUUCUUCUUCUUGAACAUCAAGCGAUGGUACAAUUCUGUGUUUUUCUUAACAUUGUGUGUUUUUCUUCACUUAGGAGAAUGUGAUGCACAACUCUGCGAACCCUAUAUUCGAGCUCAUCCGUCAUGAAAACGUUAUUAAGCUUCUCCUAGUGGAGGUGGAUCAGAUCAACCAUCGAGAGGUCAUGGUCGCACCUAGAUCUUGUAGAGGUGACAAAGGUUAACCGCAUAAUCGAGAGGGAGCAAAGGUCAUUGUUCGGGAAGAAAAACCCUAGAACGGUGAUUGUGAUGACACCAAUGUACGAUCACACGUUCCAUAAGCUACACUUGACUGAUUUUAUACACACACUGAUGUUGGUGAUGUACGAUCUUGUGUGAAUCGUGUUAGAGGUUGAUAGUCACCGACAAAACUGCUUCGAUUAUUGCCGAGUUUGGUCUUAGAACAAUCCACUUUGGCUUUUCUCAAAGAAUGCUAAAUUUGUGGAAUGCUAGGCUGAAACUUGAGUCUCACACUUUAUGAUUUCAGGCCUUGAAGCUUGUUAUUUUGGAAUGUAAACCUAAAAACAAUGGUUAAGAUCGUGGACGUAUGUGAGAAAGGGGAUUCAUAUACGAGAGAGCAAACUAGAAAUGUUACAAAAAUUUGAAGAGGAAGAUUGAGAUAAGAGUUGUUUUUCUCACAUGUAUAUCAGUAAACAAUGUAGUUCAUUAUUUCUCUCCACUAGCUAGUGCGGAGGCAAUGUUGGAAGAAGGUGAUAUAUUGAAAAUGUUUGCCUAAAAUUUGUCUACUUAGCAAUAGGCAUUGGCGUGGCUGCUUUCCUCUAUAAGUGACUUGCUGGAUGGUCACAAGGGAAAGACAGGCUACAAGAAUAAGGGGCUUGUAUUUGAAAGCUAUACUAAGACAAGUAAUGCUUUCUUUGAUAUGGAAACUAACACUAGAGAGGUGAUAGAGAGGAUGUCAGGUGACACUGUUCUCAUAAACUAUACAGUGUUAUACAAAUUAAUUGUUAGCUUAGUGGCAAGAGUAUUGGAAUUCUUGCACACAAUUAUGGUGUUUAUUGCAUCACGAUUAUCAUCAUUCAACAUCAGAAUUAUUUCUGAUAGUGUGUGUACAUUCUUUUACUAAAUUAAAAUUAAUAUUUGGACUUCACCUUUGAGGAUUGCUUUCCUAUUUUGAAGUUUCUUGCUACAGUUUCACAUGAGAUAAGGACUCCAAUGAACGAUGUUUUAGGUAAGUGAUAGGGGAGGGAAAGAGAAGAACUUUUGUUGAGUGGGAUGACCCAGAUAAUACCUCAGAAUCCUACAUUUGUAGCCAUGGCUUACAAUGUUGUUGGAAAUCCAUGAGCUUUAGGGUAAGAAUGUUCUAUCUACUGUUUCAUUUUUGCUAUUUUUAGGUCAAAUUAAUAUUAAUUAUUGCCUCUUUAUUUUAUUUUUCCAUAAUUAAAUUAUUCCUUUGCCUUUAAAUUUUAAUGUAGUUGUUUAUGAUUUUUAGAAAUAUUAAUUAUUACCUCAUCAUUUCAUUUGUUUUUGUCGUUGUUUGCUUGAAUGUGCAACCCAAUAUUUCAAUACUAAUUAUUUAUUUUUCAAAAUUCUAUUGGAACCAAGUUUAAACCAGGCAUUAUGAAGGUUCGGCUUGAGUCUGUAAUAAAUUGCUUGUAUGUUAAUAUUCCAAGACAAUGCAGAACUUGUGGUCUCAGAUUCAUAGGCCAAGAGAAAAGGUAUAUUUUUAGAAUGCUAGUAAUAAAUUCUCUUUUCAAUACACUAGGUGAAUAUGCUUGUUUAUUCUUUUGUUUAUUUAUAUGGCAAACAAAGAGUAAAGCAGAAGGCAAAUCAUAUGAUAAGCCCAACAUAGUUAGUGGGGCUAAUGUGUAGGUAGGUCUCAAAGUGUGUUUGAUGCUAUAAUGCUCUUUGAUCAACUUCUAAGUUUUCUCAGUAACCCUUAAAACUUUGUACAUAUUGGGUUCUCUUUAACGGAAGUCAUGUAACAAUAAUAAUGUAAAAAGUCUCUAAUUCUGUUUUCCGAUAUCCAUAACUAGUUCUCUGAUUUUGUUAAUAUUCAUAUGGGAUUGGUCUAGUCAGUGUUAUUUGUUGAUCUUACAGAGUUGGUGUAAGUAUGGAUUUAUUUUUACUUAUUGCUUCAUUGCUAUCCUUUUUUUUUUUCACAUGAUUUCAAUUUUUUAGUUAAGAACUUGUAUACAUAUUAGGUACUAAGGAAUGUAGUUGGAGUGUAAGCUUGGAAUAAGGGCACAUCUUAUGCAAAUUUAAUUCCUCGAUGUUUCUAUCUUUUACUAAUUGAUGUAUUCCUCUUACUUUGUGUCCUUAUAUUAUGUAUGUUAUUCUUUAUCACAAAACCAUGUUAUAUGCUGAUUGAAGAUAUUUCAGUCCUUGUGUAGCAACAUUGACUCUAAUAAUAUCUU